AACCAUAGAAACCUGCGGAGUACCUGCGGAAGGAUCAUUACCGAGUGCGGGUCCUCGUGGCCCAACCUCUCACCCGUGACUAUUGUACCUUGUUGCUUCGGCGGGCCCGCCAGCCCUGCUGGCCGCCGGGGGGCGUCUCGCCCCCGGGCCCGUGCCCGCCGGAGACCCCAACAUGAACCCUGUUCUGAAAGCUUGCAGUCUGAGUGUGAUUCUUUGCAAUCAGUUAAAACUUUCAACAAU
This 240-nucleotide unclassified non-coding RNA is filed under the name soil metagenome. RNAcentral's name for it is "partial contains 5.8S ribosomal RNA, internal transcribed spacer 2, and large subunit ribosomal RNA". The record is from RNAcentral.